This 441-nucleotide ribosomal RNA is filed under the name uncultured bacterium. Its description in RNAcentral is "partial 16S ribosomal RNA". It matches the Rfam family "Bacterial small subunit ribosomal RNA", at positions 337 to 795 of the family's 1533-position model. The record is from RNAcentral.
GCCUACGGGAGGCUGCAGUGGGGAAUAUUGCACAAUGGGGGGAACCCUGAUGCAGCAACGCCGCGUGGGUGAAGAAGUAUUUCGGUAUGUAAAGCCCUGUCAGCAGGGAAGAAGGAGACGGUACCUGACCAAGAAGCCCCGGCUAACUACGUGCCAGCAGCCGCGGUAAUACGUAGGGGGCAAGCGUUAUCCGGAUUUAGUGGGUGUAAAGGGAGCGUAGACGGCACUGCAAGUCUGGAGUGAAAGCCCGAGGCCCAACCACGGGACUGCUCUGGAAACUGCGGGGCUGGAGUGCAGGAGGGGUAAGCGGAAGUCCUGGUGUAGCGGUGAAAUGCGUAGAUAGUAGGAGGAACACCGGUGGCGAAGGCGGCUUACUGGACUGUAACUGACGUUGAGGCUCGAAGGCGUGGGGAGCAAACAGGAUUAGAUACCCUAGUAGUC